GCCGAAAUAGCUCAGUUGGGAGAGCGUUAGACUGAAGAUCUAAAGGUCCCUGGUUCGAUCCUUGGUAUCGGCG
Molecule: transfer RNA, 73 nt
Filed under: Rhipicephalus microplus (southern cattle tick)
Lineage: Eukaryota; Metazoa; Arthropoda; Arachnida; Ixodida; Ixodidae
Description: tRNA-Phe
Rfam family: tRNA
About the family: Transfer RNA (tRNA) molecules are approximately 80 nucleotides in length. Their secondary structure includes four short double-helical elements and three loops (D, anti-codon, and T loops).
Source: Rfam by way of RNAcentral